This is a long non-coding RNA of Brassica napus (rape), 4592 nucleotides long. RefSeq lists it as uncharacterized. NCBI's taxonomy places the organism in Eukaryota, Viridiplantae, Streptophyta, Magnoliopsida, Brassicales, Brassicaceae. The transcript has 2 exons. The record is from RefSeq and is a predicted model, not a curated record.
GCCCAAGAGAGAUCUGAUGUGGGCUGGAUCCGAAAAAAAUGACCCAAUAUAGAUGUGUUAUUAAUAUUACUUAAUUGCUCUUAAUGAAACAUGCAAUGUUAGUAAAGAAAAUGGCAGACUAAGGUAAAAAGUACAAUAAGAUCAUGUUUUAAUAGUAUAGAUAGACAAACGCCCACUAAGCAUCAAAUUUUCAAAGUUCGUUUAAAAAAAAAAAAUUUGUUUGUCACAAGUUUGUAGUCAUUUUUUUUGCUAAAUACAAGUUUGUAGUCAUUGACAAAAUCUCUCAAGAAGAAAAUACCAUUGCAACUUAGAAGUGUUGUAAGUAUACUAUCGUCUACUAUAUCACUGACAAGCUGUGCUGGUUUUUAUUUGGUCUAUAGUUUUUUUUGUAGAAGGUUUAGAUCGAGGUUUAUGUGAAAUAAUUUGAGAAAGUUUUCGAGUAAAUCAAGUAACGUAAUAGUUUAUGCAUAGCUGCUAGCUGAUCGUAAAACCAGGAUGCGAUAGCAAAAUAGCUAGAAGUCAUGUAUUUAAAACAUAACCAGAACAUGGUUUGUUACAUACGUCUAUAGCUUUGUUAUCUUGGAAGCAUAAAGCCAAUAUUGUACAAAUACAUAGUAAGAUACUCUGUUCGGAAACCAGAUUAAAAAUAAAAGAAAUAAAAUUUUAGCUAAAACCAAAAUCUAAUAACAAAUGGAAUCUUUAGAGAAGAAAUGAUGGCAUGGGCAAUGUGUUGAUAUCGGUUCAAGAGUCAAGACAAUGCACAAGGAUCCAAGAAAGCAUUCAAACAAAAAGAGGAACAGUAAAAGUGGAAGGUGUGUGAUGUGUGAUGUGUGAUGUGUGAUGUGUUAUGUGUGAUGUGUGAUGCGCACUUCUAAUGGUUCACGAUAUUAGAGGAAUCCAAUUUAAUUUGUUUGGUUAAACAAAGUUAAAAUCCCGUAAAUUGACGGAGAAGGUUACACAAAAAGAUAUUUUGUUUGCUGGAGAAGACACGUCGUGGGUUUGGACACAAUGUUGUCACAUCUAUAUUAUUCUGGACCAAACUAUCUCUUCACUUGGGUAAGUGAGAGAACGUUGAUUUUAAAGAUGCAACUAUAAGGAAAUCAGAUUUUUUUCUGGUUACAAUAAACGAAAAUGUUUCGAAUUGAAAGCUAGGUAUAUAGAUUUUUGGGAUUGUGUUUGGACGUUGGAUUAACUUUUAGUUAUAAGAUCUAAUGGCUUAGAAACUUCUAUCACUGUAAAGCGUGGACAUAUCUUUAUUAAUAUUAUUAACCAUCCACCGCUACAUGUCCACGACCACAACUAUUAGCUAUAUACACACGAUCAAAAACUGAAUUCAUUAUCCAUCAAUAGCUAUAUGUACACGACCACAACCAUUAGAUAUAUACACGAAUCCAGCAACCACAACGUAAUAUCAUUAACAAUCCACCACUACAUCCACGACACAACUAUUACAUACACACAUGAACAACCACUGCUAUCAUUAACCAUCCACAGCUAUAUGUCCACGCCCACAACUAUAAGAUAUGCACACGCAUCCAGCAAACGAAACCUUAUAUCAGCAACCAUCCAAAGCUUCAUGUCCACGACCACAACUGCGGUCAAACACAGCGUUUUGUCUUCAUGUGGGAGAUUGUCUGUGAACCAAAUCGGCAGAAGCAAGCAUCGGAUAAAGCGGCAGAAGCAGAGAAAUAUUGGAUAGAUAAAGAGAGAAGAGAUAAAUCGAUUGAGAAAGGACUGGAGCGGACACAGAAAAUCGAUUGAGAUAGGAGACAAAAAUUAUGUUUAGCCUAGGAAGGGAUUAGGGUUCUUGUAACUGGUUUUGUUUGGAUCUGGGUAGAUGUUGAGGAGAGGAGCCACUCUCAUUUUUUUUAAUUGACAAAAAAGAUUUGUAACAAAAAAAUAAGGAGUGGUAGGAAGAGGGUAACGAGAGACAAAGUUUAGAAAUGAGAAAUUGGGGUGUAUAACCAAACAAAAACGUAUAAUUCACUGCAUAGCCAUUUUCCCUAACAUUUCUAUACACGGUGUUAACUUUAUAAAUUAAUAUUAUAUUGCCCUUUUUUGUAACCGGCGAAACCUGAAACAAAAAAAAAAUAUAUUUGUAAUUAUUAUAUCUGAAAAGUACAACGUGGCUUUACUGACUUCACAUCUUUCUUUUUUAUUCCUUAGUAACUUCGUAUCCUUUCAAUGCUCUCCGACACCGCUUCGCUGCACAUCAUCACUUCCACCGGAUUAACAUUGAAUUGUUGACUUCUUCUUCAUUCUUUGCAAGCGCAUCCUCUUCUUCUCAUCUGAAAUCGUCUGUCACACGACAGCGUUAGAGUGUCAGCGGCGAGUAGUACCAAACCGUUCCUAUUCUACUUCACACCGUCGAUUCUUGUCAGAUCUCUGGAACUACAUUAAGUUCUCAGGUUUGGCAUGGACGAAUUAGGCCUUCUAAGUAGAUUGGUUGAGACGUGUUUUGAACGACAUAUUAACAAAUAUUUCAACUUCCGUUGGAUUGAGGUGAUCAAGAAUGCAUUAGAGGGUUCAAUCUUGUUCGUUGUUAUUUCAUGUUCUCUUGAUAUUAGUUUUGUAUCGGUGCCUAAAUGUGUUUUAUAUUAGUGUGUAUAUGAUUUUGUAAAGAGAAAUAAUAUAUUGAACGUAAAUGGAAUAAAAUUUAUUAUGACAUCAAAUAAAACAUAAUACAAUGUGAUGUUGAAUGAGAAUGAUAUUCAUAUGAUGUUGUCUCUUCCACCUAUUUUAUUUAAAUGCCGUAAAUCUUCAUUUCUUUCGCUACAAUCAAUUUGAAUUUAGUGCAAGCAUUACUUCUUUUCCCUCAAUUAUAAACACUUCAAAAUCUAAACAAUAUUUACUGUCUUAUAUCGUUUGUCACCGUUUCUAUUCUAUAUGUCCAUGUAGAAUGAAAAUGCUUCUUACUGGCAUUUCGAAAUUUGGGUUUAGUUUAUGAAAUAUUAGGGUUGACAUUGGAUUACGAUUUAUAUUUCCAUGUUGGGUUUAGUGAUUAGUGGUUUUGUUUAAGUUAGUGUCGACAUUGGGGUUGACAUUGGAUUAGGGUUUAUAUUUCCAUGUAGGGUUUAAUGAUUUGUUGAUAGGGUUUAGUUAUGUACGAUUGGGUUGACAUUUGGGCAAGCAUUACCACAUUUCAUGAAGGCAUAGCCAUAUCAACAUUUGAGAAAUGUGUUAAGAUGAUCUUUAGAUUAUAACUACAUUUUCACAUUUUCUAUUUUAUGCCUUAUGUAAAAUGGUAUUGCAUUUUACUGGCAUUUCAAAAUUUGGGUUUAGUUUAUAGAAGAUUGGGGUUGACAUUGGAUUAGGGUUUAUAUUUCCGUGUAGGGUUUAACGAUUAGUUGAUAGAUUUAGUUUAUCAAAGAUUUGAAGUGACAUAGGAUGAGGGUUUAUAUUUCCGUAUAGGGUAUAGUGAUUAUUGAGGAGGGGCUAGUUUCUGACAUAUUGGGUUCUCCAUUUGAAGAUUGGAUAAAGAGUUAAUUAAUAUGGAAGAGUUUUAGUUUUAUAACUGGGUUAGUGUUUAUAUUUCUUUUUAGGGUUUAGUAAUGAUUGGAGAAGGUUUAGUUUCUGGCAUAUUGGGUAUGCCAUUUGAAGAUUGGGGUUCACAUUGGAUUAGAGGUCAUAUUUCCGUGUAAAGUUUAGUGAUUAGUUAAUAGAGUAGUAUAUAUUCCUCUGUGUGCUUACUCAGGUUUUAAACUUCUAUGCUAUUUGGCAUUUACAUCGUGACAUAUACUAUUGUGUCAUAUAGAAUAGCAAUGUUCUGAAAUUGGUUUCUCUGUUACGUUACCUUAUGUAGAACGCGUACACUUAUUAUCCACUCAUUUUCCUUCGUAAUUUUCUAUCAUAUGUGAUAAAUACAGCUGGCCUCUCAUCUGCAUAUCGGUAUGUAUGUGUUUAUAUUUCACAGAAAACACCACGUCGCUUAUUUUAGGAAUUGUAACUGGCAACCGUUUACGUGAAGGGGCAGAACCGGAGAGAAUGUGACCAAAGAGUCUGACAUUUAAUUAAGUCAAAAUUAGUGCUACUCACCUAAUUUCACACUGAAAUACGGCUAUUUCGCCAAUAAACCCAUUAGAAAUUGAGACUAGGAAAAAGAUAAAAAAAAAUGAAAAGAAAAGAAAUAAAAUAAAAAUUUAAAGCAUUUCAGUUUUGGCUCACCAAAUGAAGUAACGAGAAAAAGAGAGAUGGUUGAAGGGUAUAUUGGCCAUUCACCACAUAGAAAGUGUGUGUCCAUCAGAAAGUGUCUAAUGGAGUAAUUGAAAACUCACAAAAUGUCUAUGAGAGUAAAUUUUUCUAAAUUGACAUGCAAAAACUAACAACACAGAGGUGUGCAUUCUGUAAAAUGAUUUACAUUUGAACAUAUGUUUUUAAAGGGGUGAAUUUGCGAGAUAGUCAAAAUCGAGAGUAUAAUUAGGCAUAUGACUAUGAUUUUGACGUUAUUGAGUGAAUAACAUUUUACCUUCUCCCAAGUCGGUUAUACCCUCACUGGAAACAAGUUACCGGUCAAAACAAAAAGAGAGAUGACAUCGAUGACUUAAGAGAUGGACCACAUUCACAGUGUACUACUAACUAACGAAUCAAGCAAA